RNAcentral lists this long non-coding RNA (503 nucleotides) under Chrysemys picta bellii (western painted turtle). RNAcentral's name for it is "lncRNA (ENSCPBG00000024097.1)". The record is from RNAcentral. Lineage: Eukaryota; Metazoa; Chordata; Testudines; Emydidae.
AAGGCCUUUUUCUAAAAAUGCCUAUUAAUUACCAGUAUUAUCAGGUUAAUAUUCUUUAUUUUAAUUGACAGGUAUUGGAAAGAGUUGGGAUAGAAUGUCACCGAUCGUACCAGCAUUGUCUCCUUCCCCAUUCAAUGACCGGUUCACAGAAAUAGCUGAAGGAAACUCAGAUGUGCCUAUAUAACUUUAGUGUGGCAGGUUGGUAGCAUGGCUGCUCCUCAUUUAUAUUUAAUGAUUAUAACAUUAUGGUACUAUUUGUUUAUUUAAAGAUGAACUUCUGUGCUCAGUCAAACUUUAGACACAUUAUUUAAACAUAAGUCAAUUUGCCAAUCAUGUAUUUGUGGCUAUUUUCUUCCAUAAAUAGUUAAUAAUUAAAGAGAAAUGUUUGUAAACAAGAGCUUUUUCUCUCAACACUCAUCUCCUUCUCCUGCUCGUUCAUACUAAGAGGUCAUCACAAGCUACCCUGUAACUUUAGGAUCUUUCUGGCUUUGGAAAUGUAUAUA